GGAGAGGUGCUAGAGUGGUUGAAUAGGCUGGUCUCGAAAACCAGUAUGGUGAAAGUCAUCGUGGGUUCGAAUCCCAUCUCCUCCGCCA
This 88-nucleotide transfer RNA is filed under the name Candidatus Peregrinibacteria bacterium. Its description in RNAcentral is "tRNA-Ser". It matches the Rfam family "tRNA". From Rfam's summary of the family: Transfer RNA (tRNA) molecules are approximately 80 nucleotides in length. The record is from RNAcentral. Lineage: Bacteria; Candidatus Peregrinibacteriota.